UACAAAAUAAUCCACAUUUAUUCCAUGAUCUUCAAGGGGAAGACCAUGAGCAUCCCCACCUGAAUUUGACGUAACCUGGAUUCGAAUUUGGACCGCAACAUCAGGCCUAAAUUUGGGUCAGCCACUUCAAUCUAGAUCUCAACUAUGUGACUGACUAUCGGAAGAUAAGGCCAGAAACUGGAUCAGGGUUUGAGACAGUUAUGGAUCUCAGUGAGGUUUCUCAUCUCAGAUCCAGUUUCAUAUGUGAAAUCGGUUUAGAUCUGUGUGUGACUCUUUUUUUCUUUUUUGAACCCUUAUUUUACUAGGUAAAUUGACUGAGAACACAUUCUCAUUUACAGCAAAGACCUGGGGAGUAGUUACAGGGGAGAGGAGAGGGGAUGAAUGAGUCAAUUGGCAAUUUGUUGUUGGCAAGUCAUAAACGGGACCCUUCCAACCACAAACAGAGAGAGGAACAUCAACUACUGUAUCAAUGCUGGCUAUAUAUGUCUAUUGUAUGUGUUGUUUACUUACAAAACCUAUUAAAAAUGUUUUUAAGGAUACAUGUGAAAUAUUUACAUUUGGCCAAAUAAUGUAUACAUUCCAAAUUCCAACAUAUAUUACAGAAUGUUCUUCAAAUGUAAAUACAGGGCCUUCAGAAAGUAUUCACACCUCUUUACUUUUUCCACAUUUUGUUGUGUUACAAAGUGGGAUUAAAAUGUAUUUAAUUGUGAUUUUUUUUGUCAAAGAUCUACACAAAAUACUCAAUAUGGAAGAACAUUUCUAAAAUGUGUAAAACAUUCAUGAAAAAUAAUAAUACACUAGUAUAUCUUGAUUAGAUAAGUAUUCAACCCGCUAGGUCAAUAAAUGUUAGAUUCACCUUGGCCACGAUUAUAGCUGUGAGUCUUUCUGGGUAAGUCUCUCAGAGCAUUCCACACCUGGAUUGUGCAACAUUUCCAUUAUCUUUUUCAAAUUCUUCAAGAUCUGUCAAAUUGGUUGUUGAUCAUUGCUAGACAACCAUUUUCAGGUCUUGCCAUAGAUUUUCAAUCAGAUUUAACCUUUCUAGGGCAGGCGUUCCGCUAACAAUCCGCUGAAAUGGCAGCGUGCGAAAUUCAAAAAUAUUUUUUCGAAAUUUGUAACUUUCACACAUUAACAAGUCCAAUACAGCAAAUGAAAGAUAAACUUCUUGUAAACCAUCGUGUCUGAUUUCAAAAAGGCUUUACAACGAAAGCACAACACAUGAUUAUGUUAGAUUACCGCCAAUUCAAAAAAACACACAGCCAUUUUUCCAGCCAAAGAUAGGAGUCACAAAAAGCAGAAAUAUAGAUAAAAUGAAUCACUAAUCUUUGAUGAUCUUCAUCAGAUAACACUCAUAGGACAUGAUGUAACACAAUACAUGAAUGUUUUGUUCGAUAAUGUGCAUAUUUACAUCCAAAAAUCUCAGUUAACAUUGGUGCGUUACGUGCAGUAAUGUUUUGAUUCCAAAACAUCCGGUGAUUUUGCAGAAAUACUCAUAAUAAACAUUGAUAGAAGAUACAAUUGUUAAUAAUAAUAAUUGUAAUUGUAAUAAUAAUUGUUAUUCACAGAAUUAAAGAUAGACAUCUCCUUAAUGCAACCACUGUGUCAGAUUUUUUAAAAACUUUACGGAAAAAGCAUAAUCUGAGAACGGCGCUCAGAGCCCAAUACAGCCAGAGAAAUAUCCGCUAUUUUGGAGUCAACAGAAGUUAGAUAUAACACUAUAAAUAUUCAUCAGAUCUUCAUCAGAAUGCACUCCCCGGAAUCCCAGUUCGACAAUAAAUGACUGAUUUGUUCAAUAAAAUUCCAUAAAGUCCAUCAUUUAUGUCCAAAUAGCCACUUGUUGUUAGCGUGUUCAGCCCACUAAUCCAUCUUCAUGAGGCGCGAGCACUUCGUCCAGACAAAAACUCGAAAAGUUCCAUUACAGGUCGUAGAAACAAGUCAAACGAUGUAUGGAAUCAAUCUUUAGGAUGUUUUUAACAUAAAACAUCAAUAAUGUUCCAACCGGAGAAUUCCUAUGUCUGAAGAAAAGCCAUGGAACGAGAGCUAAACUCUGUCGGGAGUGCACGUCACGAGCCCGAGACACUCUGCCAGACCACUGACUAAAAUAGGUCUCAUAAGCUCCCCAUCCUCAUAAGCUCCCCAUUUAUAGUAGAAUCCUCAAACCAGUGGAAAUCUAGUGGAAGCCGUAGGAAGUUGACUCCAUAGACACUGUGUAUUCAGUAGGCCAAGCUUUGAAACAUUUCAAACCUCAGAUUUCCCACUUCCUGGUUGGAUUUUUCUCAGGUUUUCGUCUGUCAUAUGAGCUCUGUUAUAAUCACAGACAUCAUUCAAACAGUUUUAGAAACUUCAGAGUGUUUUCUAUCCAAUUCUAAUAAUAAUAUGCAUAAAUUAGCAUCUGGGACAGAGUAGGAGGCAGUUCACUCUGGGUACGCUAUCCAUUCAAAAGUGAAAAUGCUGCCCCCUAUCCCAAAAGAGUUAAGUCAAAACUGCAACUCGGCCACUCAGGGACAUUCACUGUCUUCUUAGUAAACAACUCCAGUGUAGAUUUGGCCUAGGUUUUUGUCCUGCUGAAAGGUGAAUUCAUCUCCCAGUGUCUGGCAGAAAGAAGACUGAACCAGAUAUUCCUCUAGGAUUUUGCUUGUGCUUAGCUCCAUUCCAUAGAUUUUUUUGUCCUGAUAACUCCCCGGUCCUUAAUGAUUACAAGCAUAACAUGAUGCAGCCACCACUAUGCUUGAAAAUAUAGAGUGUGCUACUCGGUAAUGGGUUGUAUUGGAUUUGCCCCAAACAUAACCCUUUACAGUGCAUUCGGAAAGUAUUCAGGUUACAGCCUUAUUCUAAAUAUUUUAUUUUAUUUAUUUUAUUUUAUUUCACCUUUAUUUAACCAGGUAGGCCUGUUGAGAACAAGUUCUCAUUUACAACUGCGACCUGGCCAAGAUAAAGCAUAGCAGUGUGAACAGACAACAACACAGAGUUACACAUGGAGUAAACAAUAAACAAGUCAAUAACACAGAUUUUUUUUUAAAGAGUCUAUAUACAUUGUAUGCAAAAGGCAUGAGGAGGUAGGCGAAUAAUUACAAUUUUGCAGAUUAACACUGGAGUGAUAAAUGAUCAGAUGGUCAUGUGCAGGUAGAGAUACUGGUGUGCAAAAGAGCAGAAAAGUAAAUAAAUAAAAACAGUAUGGGGAUGAGGUAGGUAAAUUGGGUGGGCUAUUUACCGAUAGACUAUGUACAGUUGCAGCGAUCGGUUAGCUGCUCAGAUAGCAGAUGUUUGAAGUUGGUGAGGGAGAUAAAACUCUCCAACUUCAGCGAUUUUUGCAAUUCGUUCCAGUCACAGGCAGCAGAGAACUGGAAGGAAAGGCAGCCAAAUGAGGUGUUGGCUUUAGGGAUGAUCAGUGAGAUACACCUGCUGGACCGCAUGCUACGGGUGGGUGUUGCCAUCAUGACCAGUGAACUGAGAUAAGGCGGCGCUGUACCUAGCAUGGACUUGUAGAUGACCUGGAGCCAGUGGGUCUGGCGUCGAAUAUGUAGCGAGGGCCAGCCGACUAGGUGCAUACAGGUCGCAGUGGUGGGUGGUAUAAGGUGCUUUAGUAACAAAACGGAUGGCACUGUGAUACCCGUGAUACCUGUGACCGGCUCGGAAACCAGAUUGCACAGCGGAGAAGGUACGGUGGGAUUCGAGAUGGUCAGUGAUCUGUUUGUUGACUUGGCUUUCGAAGACCUUAGAUAGGCAGGGCAGGAUGGAAAUAGGUCUGUAACAGUUUGGGUCCAGGGUGUCUCUCCCUUUGAAGAGGGGGAUGACUGCGGCAGCUUUCCAAACCUUGGGGAUCUCAGACGAUAUGAAAGAGAAGUUGAACAGGCUGAUAAUAGGGGUUGUGACAAUGGCGGCGGAUAGUUUCAGAAAUAGAGGGUCCAGAUUGUCAAGCCCAGCUGAUUUGUACGGGUCCAGGUUUUGCAGCUCUUUCAGAACAUCUGCUAUCUGGAUUUGGGUAAAGGAGAAGCUGGGGAGGCUUGGAUAAAAUAGUUUUUGUUCCUCAUUAAUCUACACACAAUACCCCAAAAUGACAAAGCAAAAACAGUUUUUAGAAAUGUAAAAAAUAUGAAUAAAAACUGAAAUAUUACAUUUACAUAAGUAUUCAGAC
RNAcentral lists this long non-coding RNA (4132 nucleotides) under Oncorhynchus kisutch (coho salmon). RNAcentral describes it as "lncRNA (ENSOKIG00005049241.1)". Lineage: Eukaryota; Metazoa; Chordata; Actinopteri; Salmoniformes; Salmonidae. The record is from RNAcentral.